ACAAAGUGCUUCCCUUUAGAGUGU
Molecule: microRNA, 24 nt
Filed under: Gorilla gorilla (western gorilla)
Lineage: Eukaryota; Metazoa; Chordata; Mammalia; Primates; Hominidae
Also listed under: 4 other names
Description: ggo-miR-520g
Gene: ggo-miR-520g
Source: miRBase by way of RNAcentral